GGGCCCAUAGGGUAGCCUGGAUAUCCUUGGGGACUUCGGAUCCCCAGACCCGGGUUCGAAUCCCGGUGGGUCCG
The sequence is a transfer RNA, 74 nucleotides long. It matches the Rfam family "tRNA". From Rfam's summary of the family: Transfer RNA (tRNA) molecules are approximately 80 nucleotides in length. Their secondary structure includes four short double-helical elements and three loops (D, anti-codon, and T loops). The record is from Rfam.